ACUUGGAGCUGAAGCACCUCUUCAGCGGGGACCUGCUCGGGACAACAGGCUAUGUGAUACAGAAACCGGUGUGUGUCAGCCAAGGCUUUCACUGACCAAGGCGCGCUCAUCCCAGAUGAUUCAUGACUCAGCAGGCCCUUCAUGAGCUGAAAAAUCUCACACAGUGUAGCUGGAUGUUGGAUGGUUUUCCAAGGACACUUUCACAGGCAGAAGCCUUAGAUAGAGCUUCUCAGAUCGUUACUGUGAUUAACCCACAUGUAUGCUUUGAGGUCCUUAAAUGAGGCCUUACUGCUCGCUGGACGCAUCCCCCAGUGGCCGAGUCUACAACAUUGAAUUCGACCCUCUCAAAACUGUGGGCACGGAUGAUCUGACUGUGGAACCUCUCAUACAGCAUGAGGAUGGUAAGCCAGAGACGGUUAUCAACAGACCAAAGGCUCUGAAGCCGAAACAAAGCCAGUUCUGAAACAUUAUCAGAACAAAAGCGUGUUGGAAACAUUCUCCGGAACAGAAACCAACAAGAUUUGACCCUAUUUACAUGCUUUCCUACAAACUAAAGUUCCACAAACAAGCCAGAAAGCUUCUGUUACUCCAUGAGGAGAAAUGUGUGUAACUAUUAAUAGUUAGAUGGGCAAACCUCCUAGUCCUUGCAUUUAGAAGCUACUUUUCCUAAGACUUCCAGUAUGUAUGAAUUCUUUGAAAAUUGCGUUACUUUUAUUUCUUCUGAUUUUACUCUGGAUAUUAAGGAUGUGCUAAAUGAGUCAGAUACUAAGGUUCAUGCUUUGGAAUCAUCUAGUGUGUUUUAUGCAGUUAUCCUCAAAAACGUCAGCAAUGUCUGAACUUUUAAAACGUCUAUUAGAGCAAAAUUAAAAAAGGAUUUGGUAGUCAUCUUUUUGUUCAGUUAAGUGGUUGAUAAAGGUCCCAUAUUUUUCUGGAAAAGUUUUAAAAAGUUACAUGUCAUUUGGGGAAAAUACGUGAUCAGGAAUUUUUGCAUGGAAUGAUGGCAAAAAAGACAUUUCCAGCAUUGUGGAACAUGGUGAGACACUAUGGAAAAUUCCAGAGAGUAGGCAACUGGAUUUACAGAUUUGUUGUAAGGCAAAAAUUCACGGCUGCCUUUACACUAAGAAAUGUAUAUGCUAGCCAUAUAUGCUGUAUUUAUUUUGUUGUUAAGCUUACUUUCAGUUGACUCGGAAUUUUCAAUUUGCUGUAAAAACAUAUCAGUAUAUAGAAAAAUAUUACUUUAAGAUGACUUGUUUCCUUUGAAAAUAGAUAUGUACUGAGGGUUAUGAUUUAUGUCCGAAAUUGACAUUGUAAGUCCUUGGACAAGCACCAAAGUUGAAUGAAUUUUCAGCAAAGUGUAAUUAAAGUCUAUAUGUUUUUAGAUGUGACUCCGGUUAAGAAAUGUGUUUUAGGAUCUAGUGGCCAGUUUCUCUUUUUGAUCCAAAUGUACGAUCUGCCAUAAGUAACAAGUUACAGUCCCACCCCCUGCAAAAAAAAAAAAAAAAAGGAAACAGAGAAAACCCGUGGCGCUGUGUAAAUAAAGUCAGCAUACUUGUCGGUGGUAAAUAGAUGAGGCAUGCCUGGGAAAUGCUCUCUUGGCAUAAAUAGCAAUCAAUCAUAAUGUGUAAACAGGUGUGCCAAUAAAACGAAUUUACAUGACAGGUUAACAAGGACCAGGAAAGUGAGUGAGUUUCCUGAAGGAGUCCUUUGUUUCUGAUCAAAGAAAUCAAUACCCGUUAGCGUUCACUGCCAGCCACCUUAUUUCAAGGAGAAAGAACCCUAUUGGUGUCACCUGAGCAGCCAUUUAAAAAUUGGAAUCUACGGUGAUUCCUUCGCGGGGCAACAAGGAUGGCUGCUGGUGCGCUGUGGGUCUGGUAGGAGGGCACCCGAGGGGUGGAGGAACACCGUUAUUAUGUCUUCCACGGCGUACGCACUCCGGCUUUACUUGGUGCCAAAUCAAAUGAAACAAGCCCUCGUACAAGCUGUUAUUAAUUGCCUUUAAAAAUCUGUUCCGUUUUUCCCCAGGUACUUAAAAUACAAUUCCAGUAGGCAGUUCUUAUGUAUUUGGGGGGUGGGGGAAUUUUAUUUUCUUUUUCUUCUGAUAUUUUAAAAAUUCAUCGAUAUUUCAAGAUGAACCAAGGUUUUUAAAAAGAAUUACAGUAAACACUUCUUUCUUUAUAAAACUUUCUAUAAUGCCUGGUUUGAAUGCUAAUCUUAUGUGCUUUCUAAAAAUGUUGUGAGCUACCAAGCUUAUGGAUUAUCAUUAGGUUAUCCGGCAUACAUUAAUCUUUAGCAGGAUCGAAUGAAAUUUUGUAACUGUGGCUGUCACUCUGUCCUUGGGCCUUCACAGGGCCUGCUCCAUCCCGGCUCCCUUUCUGCUGCCCAAUGCCUCCAUGGCUUCUGAAAGAUUGUGUUCUAAUAAAUGAUCUUAAAACAG
Sapajus apella (tufted capuchin) is the source of this 2434-nucleotide RNA transcript. It is a transcript of the gene named GTP:AMP phosphotransferase AK3, mitochondrial pseudogene, with no coding region annotated. The record is from RefSeq and is a predicted model, not a curated record. The transcript is spliced from 2 exons. Lineage: Eukaryota; Metazoa; Chordata; Mammalia; Primates; Cebidae.